Molecule: ribosomal RNA, 253 nt
Filed under: uncultured bacterium
Lineage: Bacteria
Also listed under: 1 other name
Description: partial 16S ribosomal RNA
Rfam family: Bacterial small subunit ribosomal RNA
Source: RNAcentral
GACGUAGGGCGCGAGCGUUGUCCGGAUUUAUUGGGCGUAAAGAGCUCGUAGGCGGCUUGUCGCGUCGAAUGUGAAAUCUCGGGGCUCAACUCCGAGCUUGCAUUCGAUACGGGCAGGCUAGAGUUCGGUAGGGGAGACUGGAAUUCCUGGUGUAGCGGUGAAAUGCGCAGAUAUCAGGAGGAACACCGGUGGCGAAGGCGGGUCUCUGGGCCGAUACUGACGCUGAGGAGCGAAAGCGUGGGGAGCGAACAGG